This 445-nucleotide ribosomal RNA is filed under the name uncultured bacterium. RNAcentral's name for it is "bacterial SSU rRNA". It matches the Rfam family "Bacterial small subunit ribosomal RNA", at positions 331 to 793 of the family's 1533-position model. The record is from RNAcentral.
CCAGACUCCUACGGGAGGCAGCAGUGGGGAAUAUUGCACAAUGGGGGAAACCCUGAUGCAGCGACGCCGCGUGAGCGAUGAAGUAUUUCGGUAUGUAAAGCUCUAUCAGCAGGGAAGAAAAUGACGGUACCUGACUAAGAAGCCCCGGCUAACUACGUGCCAGCAGCCGCGGUAAUACGUAGGGGGCAAGCGUUAUCCGGAUUUACUGGGUGUAAAGGGAGCGUAGACGGUUCUGCAAGCCAGAUGUGAAAGCCCGGGGCUCAACCCCGGGACUGCAUUUGGAACUGUAAGGCUAGAGUGGCGGAGAGGCAGGCGGAAUUCCUAGUGUAGCGGUGAAAUGCGUAGAUAUUAGGAGGAACACCAGUGGCGAAGGCGGUCUGCUGGACAGCAACUGACGCUGAGGCGCGAAAGCGUGGGGAGCAAACAGGAUUAGAUACCCUGGUAC